AGUGAAGUGGGAUGAGCUCAGCACCGAAGCCGGCGGUCGAAAGGCCGUCGUGCAAUGUGGUGUUCGGGAGGGCUCUGUCCGUGUCCGGUGUUGGUCCAAGUCUCCUGGAAAGGAGUUCCGUGGAGGGUGACAGGCCCGUGCGACCAAAUGCCGUGUUCGCGGACGAGUCCUUCUUCGAGUCGGGUUGUUCGCUAAUGCAGCCCUAAGCAGGUGGUAAGCUCCAUCUAAAGCUAAAUAUGACCACGAGCCCGAUAGUCAACAAGUACAGUGAUGGAAAGUUGAAAAGUACUCUGAAGAGAGAGUCAAAUAGCCCGUGAAGCUGCCAGUAUGGGGUUAAGCGCACGUGUGACGCGUGUCGUUGGACAAAUAGGCGACUGCCGUGGCGUGCGGUCGACGCAGUGGCGGUGCGCAAGCAUCGUGUGGCGUCGGCGCCGGCGCGCCGGGCAGAACGCUUCCCUUUGUUCGACACCGACAGGUCGGGGCUUCGUUGUGCGGUCUUAUUGCCGACAGUUAUCCACAGAGCCGUGCUGGGCGGCCGCCGUUCUCGGACGGUGACCGUGCUCCGUUGAAUGUGGCUCUUCGCGAGCGCAACGGCCGGCUUGGUCUGCGGUGCAAUGCUGUCGAAUGUGCGAACGACUGUGCGACGGCCAACGCAUUCGAGUCUCACGAUUCGGCUCGGCCUUUGCGUCGUCACGUGCGGCCCGUCUUGAAACACGGACCAAGGAGUCUAACAUGUGAGCGAGCGAUUGAGAUUGUCAAAUCUCAAACGCGCAAUGAAAGUGAAGUGUCGUCUGACGGCACGAGCGGUGAUCCGGCGCCACGUGUGGCGCCGGCGCAACCGCGGGCCGCGCCAUGGGCUGGCUUGCUUUUCGGAGCACUGCUCAGGCGCGGACCUAGAGCCCACACGUUGGGACCCGAAAGAUGGUGAACUAUGCCUGGCCAGGAUGAAGCCAGAGGAAACUCUGGUGGAGGUCCGCCGCGAUUCUGACGUGCAAAUCGAUCGUCUGAGCUGGGUAUAGGGGCGAAAGACCAAUCGAACCAUCUAGUAGCUGGUUCCGCCCGAAGUUUCCCUCAGGAUAGCUGGCGCUUGUGUGAUACGGAGUUUCAUCCGGUAAAGCGAAUGAUCAGAGGAGCUGGGCUCCUUGCGAGCUCAACCUAUUCUCAAACUUUCAAUGGGUGAGACGUCUCGCUGGCUUCAGUGCAGCGACGACUCUGAAUCCGAGUGCCCAGUGGGCCACUUUUGGUAAGCAGAACUGGCGAUGCGGGAUGAACCGCAUGUCGAGUUAAGGUGCCUAAGCGAACGCAAAUCAGAUACCAUGAAAGGUGUUGAUUGCUCACGACAGCAGGACGGUGGCCAUGGAAGUCGGCAUCCGCUAAGGAGUGUGUAACAACUCACCUGCCGAAGCAAUCAGCCCUGAAAAUGGAUGGCGCUAAAGCGUUCCACCGAUACUCGACCGUCGUCGGCAUGCGAUGCGCCAUGUGCACAUCUGACGCCACGACGAGUAGGGCGGCGCGGCGGUGAGCGUUGAAGGCGUAACCGUGAGGUUAGCUGGAGCCGCCGUCGGUGCAGAUCUUGGUGGUAGUAGCAAAUACACAAGCAAGAUCCUUGUGGACCGAUGUGGAGAAGGGUUCCGCGCGAACAGUAUUUGGACGUGGGUGAGUCGGCCCUAAGCCAACGGGUAAUUCCCGCAUCCCGAUGUGUUACACAUUUAAAAUGACAUACAACGGGUUGAU
This 1734-nucleotide ribosomal RNA is filed under the name Lepas anserifera. RNAcentral's name for it is "eukaryotic LSU rRNA". It matches the Rfam family "Eukaryotic large subunit ribosomal RNA", at positions 92 to 1593 of the family's 3401-position model. Lineage: Eukaryota; Metazoa; Arthropoda; Thecostraca; Lepadidae. The record is from RNAcentral.